ACGUAGGUGGCAAGCGUUGUCCGGAAUUAUUGGGCGUAAAGCGCGCGCAGGCGGGACCUUAAGUCCAUUUUGAAAGUUCGCAGCUCAACUCCGUGAUGGGAUGGGAACUGGGAUUCUUGAGUACCGGAGAGGAAAGCGGAAUUUCCCGUGUAGCGAUUCAAUGCGUAGAUGUCGGGUGGAGCACCGAUAGCGAAGGCAGCUUUCUGGACUGUUUCUGACGCUGAGGCUCUAAAGUCAGUGGAGCGAAUGG
Molecule: ribosomal RNA, 250 nt
Filed under: uncultured prokaryote
Description: partial 16S rRNA
Rfam family: Bacterial small subunit ribosomal RNA
Source: RNAcentral